GUGGACGUAGUAUAAAGGUCAGUACGACAGUCUCAUAAUCUGUAGAUUCGGGUUCGAGUCCCGGCGUCGACA
This 72-nucleotide transfer RNA is filed under the name Hepatospora eriocheir. It matches the Rfam family "tRNA". From Rfam's summary of the family: Transfer RNA (tRNA) molecules are approximately 80 nucleotides in length. Their secondary structure includes four short double-helical elements and three loops (D, anti-codon, and T loops). The record is from Rfam by way of RNAcentral. Lineage: Eukaryota; Fungi; Microsporidia; Hepatosporidae.